Molecule: ribosomal RNA, 274 nt
Filed under: uncultured bacterium
Lineage: Bacteria
Description: partial 16S ribosomal RNA
Rfam family: Bacterial small subunit ribosomal RNA
Source: RNAcentral
AUACGGAGGGUGCGAGCGUUAAUCGGAAUUACUGGGCGUAAAGCGUACGUAGGCGGUUGGUUAAGUUAGAUGUGAAAGCCCCGGGCUUAACCUGGGAACUGCAUUUAAAACUGGCGAACUAGAGUUGAGUAGGGGGGAGUGGAAUUUCAGGUGUAGCGGUGAAAUGCGUAGAGAUCUGAAGGAACACCGGUGGCGAAGGCGACUCCCUGGACUCGAACUGACGCUGAGGUACGAAAGCGUGGGUAGCAAACGGGAUUAGAAACCCCAGUAGUCC